GAUGAAGAACGCAGCGAAAUGCGAUAAGUAAUGUGAAUUGCAGAAUUCAGUGAAUCAUCGAAUCUUUGAACGCACAUUGCGCCCAUUAGUAUUCUAGUGGGCAUGCCUGUUCGAGCGUCAUUACGCCCCUCAAGUCCCCUGUGGACUUGGUGUUGGGGAUCGGCGAGGCUGGUUUUCCAGCACAGCCGUCCCUUAAAUUAAUUGGCGGUCUCGCCGUGGCCCUCCUCUGCGCAGUAGUAAAACACUCGCAACAGGAGCCCGGCGCGGUCCACUGCCGUAAAACCCCCCAACUUUUUAUAGUUGACCUCGAAUCAGGUAGGACUACCCGCUGAACUUAAGCAUACCAAUAAGCGGAGGA
RNAcentral lists this unclassified non-coding RNA (358 nucleotides) under soil metagenome. RNAcentral's name for it is "partial contains 5.8S ribosomal RNA, internal transcribed spacer 2, and large subunit ribosomal RNA". The stretch from base 1 to 120 matches the Rfam family "5.8S ribosomal RNA", at positions 35 to 154 of the family's 154-position model. The record is from RNAcentral.